This 779-nucleotide ribosomal RNA is filed under the name uncultured bacterium. Its description in RNAcentral is "bacterial SSU rRNA". It matches the Rfam family "Bacterial small subunit ribosomal RNA", at positions 9 to 784 of the family's 1533-position model. The record is from RNAcentral.
GAGUUUGAUCCUGGCUCAGGAUGAACGCUAGCGGCAGGCUUAAUACAUGCAAGUCGAACGGUAACAUGAGAGCUUGCUCUUGAUGACGAGUGGCGCACGGGUGCGUAACGCGUAUGCAACCUACCUUUUACUGGGGGAUAGCCAGGAGAAAUUCUGAUUAAUACCCCAUAGUACUGUAAUGUAGCAUUACAUAGCAGUUAAAGAUUUAUUGGUAAAGGAUGGGCAUGCGUGACAUUAGUUAGUUGGUAAGGUAACGGCUUACCAAGACGAUGAUGUCUAGGGGUUCUGAGAGGAAGGUCCCCCACACUGGUACUGAGACACGGACCAGACUCCUACGGGAGGCAGCAGUAGGGAAUAUUGGUCAAUGGACGCAAGUCUGAACCAGCCAUGCCGCGUGCAGGAUGACAGCUUUCUGAGUUGUAAACUGCUUUUAUAUAGGAACAAAGAGGCCAUGCGUGGCAAGUUGCGUGUGCUAUAUGAAUAAGCACCGGCUAACUCCGUGCCAGCAGCCGCGGUAAUACGGAGGGUGCAAGCGUUGUCCGGAUUUAUUGGGUUUAAAGGGUGCGUAGGUGGUUUUUUAAGUCAGUGGUGAAAGCCUACAGCUUAACUGUAGAGGUGCCAUUGAUACUGGAGAACUUGAGUAUGGACGAGGUAGGCGGAAUUUGUGGUGUAGCGGUGAAAUGCAUAGAUACCACAAAGAACACCGAUAGCGAAGGCAGCUUACUGGACCAUAACUGACACUGAGGCACGAAAGCGUGGGGAGCGAACAGGAUUAGAUA